RNAcentral lists this ribosomal RNA (235 nucleotides) under uncultured bacterium. RNAcentral describes it as "partial 16S ribosomal RNA". It matches the Rfam family "Bacterial small subunit ribosomal RNA", at positions 15 to 245 of the family's 1533-position model. The record is from RNAcentral.
GAUCCUGCUCAGGAUGAACGCUAGCGACAGGCUUAACACAUGCAAGUCGAGGGGCAGCACAGGGUAGCAAUACUUGGGUGGCGACCGGCGCACGGGUGAGUAACGCGUAUGCAACUUACCUAUCAGAGGGGGAUAGCCCGGCGAAAGUCGGAUUAAUACCCCAUGAAACAGGGGUCCCGCAUGGGAAUAUUUGUUAAAGAUUCAUCGCUGAUAGAUAGGCAUGCGUUCCAUUAGG